This 253-nucleotide ribosomal RNA is filed under the name uncultured bacterium. RNAcentral describes it as "partial 16S ribosomal RNA". It matches the Rfam family "Bacterial small subunit ribosomal RNA", at positions 524 to 776 of the family's 1533-position model. The record is from RNAcentral.
UACGUAGGGGGCAAGCGUUGUCCGGAUUUAUUGGGCGUAAAGAGCGCGUAGGCGGCCAGACAGGUCCGUUGUGAAAACUCGAGGCUCAACCUCGAGAUGUCGAUGGAAACCGUCUGGCUAGAGUCCGGAAGAGGAGUGUGGAAUUCCUGGUGUAGCGGUGAAAUGCGCAGAUAUCAGGAAGAACACCUAUGGCGAAGGCAGCACUCUGGGACGGUACUGACGCUGAGACGCGAAAGCGUGGGGAGCGAACAGG